AAACCAUGAGUGGCCAGCGUGUGGGGAAAGACUCCCUGGGAAGGAUGACCUCAGCAAAUACACCCACACACACUGCUGAAGGACCCCAUGAAUGCCAAGAAUGUGGUAAAAGGUUCAGAUACCAGAGUGACCUUAACAGCCACUCCCUUACACACACUGGUGAAAGACCUCAUGAAUGCCAAGAGUGUGACAAAAGAUUCAAUACAAAGAGUAACCUCAAGACACACACCCUUAUACACACUGGUGAAAGACCUCAUGAAUGCCAAGAGUGUGGCAAAAGGUUCAAUACAAAGGGUCACCUCAAGACCCACACCCUUACACACACUGGUGAAAGGCCUCAUGAAUGUGGGGUUUGUGGAGAAAGGUUUACACAGAAGAGUAGCCUCAACACACACAUGCGUACACACACUGGUGAAAGACCUCAUGAAUGCCAAGAGUGUGACAAAAGAUUCAAUACAAAGAGUAACCUCAAGACACACACCCUUAUACACACUGGUGAAAGACCUCAUGAAUGCCAAGAGUGUGGCAAAGGGUUCAAUACAAAGGGUCACCUCAAGACCCACACCCUUACACACACUGGUGAAAGGCCUCAUGAAUGUGGGGUUUGUGGAGAAAGGUUUACACAGAAGGGUAGCCUCAACACACACAUGCGUACACACACUGGUGAAAGACCUCAUGAAUGUGGGGUUUGUGGAGAAAAGUUUACACGUAAGGGUAACCUUAAUGCACACAUGCGUGUACACACUGGUGAAAGGCCUCAUGAAUGUGGGGUUUGUGGACAAAGGUUUACAUAUAAGCAUAGCCUUAACACACACAUGCGUACACACACUGGUGAAAGGCCUUAUGAGUGUGGGGUUUGUGGAGAAAGGUUUACACAGAAGAGUACCCUUAACACACACAUGCGUACACACACUGGUGAAAGGCCUUAUGAGUGUGGGGUUUGCAGAGAAAGGUUUACACAUAAGGGUACCCUCAACACACACACGCGUACACACACUGGUGAAAGACCUCAUGAGUGUGGGGUUUGUGGUAAGACAUUCAUUACGAAGACCCAGCUCAAGGUGCACACUUAUGAACACACUGGUGAAAGGCCUCAUGAGUGUCUGGAAUGUGGUAAAAGGUUCAAAGAGAAGCACACCCUGGAGUGUCACACCUUCAGACACACUGGCCUGAGAGAGUUCAAGUGUGAUGUGUGUGGGAAGCACUUCAAGAUGAAGGGGGACAUUGCCCGGCACAUGAAGACUCACUUCUGAGGUGCUGUGUGUGGGGUAUAGGUGGGGGCUGAGAUGGUGGUGGUGGUGGUGGAGGGCAGUGUGUGGCAUGAAGGAGCACACUGACCCAUUGUAACAAGUAGUGUGUGUGUGUGUGCCAGUGUGGUGUGCUCCCUGUUCUCACUCCAGGCUGAGGUGGUGGUGGUGGUGGAGGGCAGUGUGUGGUGUAAAGGAGCACACUGACCCAUUGUAACAAUUAGUGUGUGUGUGCCUGUGUGGUGUGCUCCCUGUUCUCACCCCCGGCUGAAGUGGUGGUGGUGGUUGUGGUGAAGGGCAGUGUGUGGCAUGAAGGAGCACACUGACCCAUUGUAACAAGUAGUGUGUGUGUGCCAGUGUAGUGUGCUCCCUGUUCUCACCCCCGGCUGCCUGUGGCUUGUGGAUGCUGUCCUCUGUUUAACCCUUAAUGGCAUAAGUUGUCUUUUGUUGGUUGGAUAAUUGCUCAUUGCUAUUUUUCUCUUUGUCAGCACUUCAACAGUUUACACUAAGUCUUCUAAGUGUGCCUUUCCUGCAGCUCUCCAGUCUGGCGUGUGGGACAGGCAGGCCCACGGUACAGCUGCAAAGCCCCCGCUGGAAUGACCAUUUUGUCAUGUAGUACAGUGUUCGCUUACAGAAAUAAGUGUCCAGUCCCAAAGAUAAGUGCAAAUUUAUCUUAGAAUAUUAAUGUGUGUGUGUGUGAAUAUUAAUUAUGCCAGGUUGAGCACCAGAUAUAUAUAAAUGGUUAUACAUGUCAUCGUUAAAACGCCUUUAGAUUUAAGAGUCUGUAAAUGGUUAUUGAUUCCAUCCUCCUGUUUGCAAAAGUGGAAAGGUUUGGUCAUUCACUUUGACAAACUUUGUUGAAUCGUUCAGUGUGUUCUCCAUUUUGUCUAUGUAAUCCUUCCUAUUGAGUAAAACAACUCCUUUACCCUUAUCAGGUUUGCAUACAAUAAGGUCUUGAUCUGGGGCGAGUUUCCGUAAAAAGGCAACUUCAUCUUCGUCUAGAGAUUGACAAAAUGUGGGAUUAGAUUAGAAAAUGGAGAGGGCAAUAUGUUUGUAUGUUUGUAUUGUUUUAUCGUGAUUUUAUAUCCCUUUCUAGUCCUGAUGAUGACUCAUGGACGAGUCAAAACGUUGACAAAUAAAAAUGAUCGUGGCAAU
RNA transcript from Eriocheir sinensis (Chinese mitten crab), 2402 nucleotides. It is a transcript of the gene named zinc finger protein 239-like, with no coding region annotated. The transcript has 2 exons. The record is from RefSeq and is a predicted model, not a curated record. NCBI's taxonomy places the organism in Eukaryota, Metazoa, Arthropoda, Malacostraca, Decapoda, Varunidae.